This 209-nucleotide ribosomal RNA is filed under the name Circinotrichum sp. RNAcentral describes it as "partial large subunit ribosomal RNA". The record is from RNAcentral. Lineage: Eukaryota; Fungi; Ascomycota; Sordariomycetes; Xylariales; Coniocessiaceae.
AAGCGCUUAUGACCAGACCUUUGCCUGGCGGAUCAUCCGGUGUUCUCACCGGUGCACUUCGCUAGGUUGAGGCCAGCGUCGAUUUCUGGAGGGGGAUAAAGGCAGUGGGAACGUGACUCCUCCGGGAGUGUUAUAGCCCGCUGCGUAAUACCCUUCUGGGGAUCGAGGUUCGCGCUCUGCAAGGACGCUGGCGUAAUGGUCAUCAGUGA